UACAGAGGGGGCAAGCGUUAUUCGGAAUUAUUGGGCGUAAAGGGCGCGUAGGCGGCUUUGCAAGUGACGGGUGAAAUCCCUCGGCUUAACCGAGGAACUGCCUGUCAAACUGCAUGGCUUGAGACCGGGAGAGGUGAGUGGAAUUCCCAGUGUAGCGGUGAAAUGCGUAGAUAUUGGGAAGAACACCGGUGGCGAAGGCGGCCACCUGGUCCGGACCUGACGCUGAGGCGCGAAAGCGUGGGGAGCAAACAGG
Molecule: ribosomal RNA, 253 nt
Filed under: uncultured bacterium
Lineage: Bacteria
Description: partial 16S ribosomal RNA
Rfam family: Bacterial small subunit ribosomal RNA
Source: RNAcentral